AAUGACCGUCGUGCGCGCCUCUACAGCAACAGCGACGACCUGCGCACCGUCCGCCGCCACAGCCGCCGCAAUGGGCCCAACAGCGGAGGCAGCAUCACAGCGGCCCGCGACGCGGUUUCCGGCGGCGGGGCGAGCACGAGUUUUGAAACGUCGUGGAAAUCGCAACAGUCUCGCUUUCGCUGUACACUACCUUAUUGUGGACCAAAUGGGAUUUUCAUUUAUUUUCAAAACAAACAAAUCUCAUUUUAUUUCUUAAUAAAUAAUUAUUCGUAUAAUACAAAUAUAUGAUGUAUAUAAUACGGACAUCAUAUGAAGGUAUGUAACAUUUCACUCUUAUAUCGAUUAUCAUCGAUUUAUAUAUGACGAGGUAGGUACUGCAGUUCUAUAUUAUUUCGUGCAAAAAAAUUUAGUCAACAACCACGAUCUUUUUGAUAGAUAGUUCCACUACAUUGUACAUAACUUAUUUAUUCGAUCAAUAUUUUUAGUUAAUCAAUUAAUUAAGGUUUUACAGUUUAAUACUAAAUUAUUUUAAAUAAAUAUGUAAUAUGAUAUUUUACUAUAUUUAAACAUACCUAUAUAAUUUAUAUCAAAAACGCGUGUAACCUAUAGUGUAUAUAGUGUAUCUUAUAGGUUACUUGCUAAAGUGCAUUAUUUUGUAGAUAAAUUAUUGUUUUUUUUUUUUUAAACAUGGCUGUGAUAAAAUAAUUUUUUGCAAUCCCUAUACUUUUUCCCACCGGUUUUCAUCUAAAAUGUUGUUUGACAAAAAUACCGCCGUGGGACUUUUGAAACUACAGGGCCGGCAAAUUAACUUUUUGUAGAACAAAAAACACAUAGUCGAAAUUUUCAAUUUAUUGUUUUUCAAUUCACUCUAUACAUAAACAUAUUACAUACUACACUAUAUAAUAGCCAGUAUACUGUACUUAUUUAAUGUAUACCUUUACUACUACGACAUAUGCAAACAUACAACUUAACCAUAUUAUACUAACAACAGCUAUUUUUCAUUGAACUGUAUACAACUAUAAUAUCGUGUAUUAUGAAUACAAACAUAAUAUGUGUAACUUUAACGUGUGCUUAAUAUACUUUUGUACAUCAACAAUACUAAUCAAUAUAUUACGAAUCAUGUGGAUUUUUAUUUUAAACAAAAACAGUAUUUACUAACGUAACUGUACAUAAACACAUACAUAUUAACUCUACUGUAUACGUACUUGCUGUAUAAAUAAAUGUAUAUUUUUUAAACUUGUUGUGUUGAAGACUUUUAAUACCUAAUGAAAUUUUUCUAUAGGUAUAAUAUUUACACAAAUAAACUCAAUAUAUUCAUACCUA
This is a long non-coding RNA of Metopolophium dirhodum (rose-grain aphid), 1323 nucleotides long. RefSeq lists it as uncharacterized. NCBI's taxonomy places the organism in Eukaryota, Metazoa, Arthropoda, Insecta, Hemiptera, Aphididae. The transcript is spliced from 2 exons. The record is from RefSeq and is a predicted model, not a curated record.